This 253-nucleotide ribosomal RNA is filed under the name uncultured bacterium. Its description in RNAcentral is "partial 16S ribosomal RNA". It matches the Rfam family "Bacterial small subunit ribosomal RNA", at positions 524 to 776 of the family's 1533-position model. The record is from RNAcentral.
GACGAACCGUGCGAACGUUGUUCGGAUUCACUGGGCUUAAAGGGCGCGUAGGCGGAUCAGCAAGUCCGGGGUGAAAGCUUUCGGCUCAACCGGAAAAGGGCCUUGGAUACUGCUGGUCUGGAGGGAGGUAGGGGCAUGUGGAACUUCCGGUGGAGCGGUGAAAUGCGUAGAUAUCGGAAGGAACGCCGGUGGCGAAAGCGACGUGCUGGACCUCUUCUGACGCUGAGGCGCGAAAGCCAGGGGAGCAAACGGG